GAACGCUGGCGGCGUGCUUUACACAUGCAAGUCGAACGGCAGCACGGGGGCANCCCUGGUGGCGAGUGGCGAACGGGUGAGUANUACAUCNGAACGUGUCCUGGANUGGGGGAUAGCCCGGCGAAANCCGGAUUAAUACCGCAUACGCUCUGAGGAGGAAAGGGGGGGAUCGCAAGACCUCUCGCUCAAGGAGCGGCCGAUGGCAGAUUAGGUAGUUGGUGGGGUAAAGGCCCACCAAGCCGACGAUCUGUAGCUGGUCUGAGAGGACGACCAGCCACACUGGGACUGAAACACGGGCCAGACUCCUACGGGAGGCAGCAGUGGGGAAUCUUGCACAAUGGGGGCAACCCUGAUGCAGCGACGCCGCGUGAGCGAUGAAGCCCUUCGGGGUGUAAAGCUCUUUCGGCCGGAACGAUAAUGACGGUACCGGCAGAAGAAGCUGCGGCUAACUACGUGCCAGCAGCCGCGGUAAUACGUAGGCAGCGAGCGUUGUUCGGAGUUACUGGGCGUAAAGAGUGCGUAGGCGGUGCUCUAACUUUGGUGUGAAAUCUCCCGGCUUAACUGGGAGGGUGCGCCGAAAACUGGAGUGCUCGAAUGUGGGAGAGGUAAGCGGAAUUCCUGGUGUAGCGGUGAAAUGCGUA
RNAcentral lists this ribosomal RNA (641 nucleotides) under metal-contaminated soil clone K20-04. Its description in RNAcentral is "bacterial SSU rRNA". It matches the Rfam family "Bacterial small subunit ribosomal RNA", at positions 31 to 692 of the family's 1533-position model. The record is from RNAcentral. Lineage: Bacteria; Pseudomonadati; Acidobacteriota.